This 442-nucleotide ribosomal RNA is filed under the name uncultured bacterium. RNAcentral describes it as "partial 16S ribosomal RNA". It matches the Rfam family "Bacterial small subunit ribosomal RNA", at positions 339 to 795 of the family's 1533-position model. The record is from RNAcentral.
CUACGGGUCGCAGCAGUCGAGAAUCUUCCGCAAUGGGCGCAAGCCUGACGGAGCAAUGCCGCGUGAGGGAUGACGGCCCUAGGGUUGUAAACCUCUGUCAGAAGGGACGAAGAACGUGACGGUACCUUCAGAGGAAGCCAUGGCUAACUACGUGCCAGCAGCCGCGGUAAUACGUAGAUGGCGAGCGUUAUUCGGAUUUACUGGGCGUAAAGGGUCCGUAGGGGGUCUGCCAAGUCUGAUGUGAAAUCCUGCGGCUCAACCGCGGAACUGCAUUGGAAACUGGCGGACUAGAGUGUGCGAGGGGUGAGCGGAAUUCCUGGUGUAGCGGUGGAAUGCGUAGAUAUCAGGAAGAACACCGAUGGCGAAGGCGGCUCACUGGCGCAUCACUGACCCUGAGGGACGAAAGCGUGGGUAGCAAACAGGAUUAGAUACCCUUGUAGUC